CCCAUAAAUAAUGCGGUUUUUGAAGUAAAAGUCGGAGGGGGACGGCAUAAACUACCUGCAUCAAUUUGCUAUAAAAGCAGGCAGUCAUUUUACCUUCUACUUAUUCUUAGUGCAAGAUUUCAAGAGUGCAGUUCGAUUUUAACGGUUAUUUUUUCUUCAAAGGUAUAAUGGAAGUGACAAAGAAGCAUAUUCGUCAUAUUUUGCUUUAUGAGUUCAAUAACGGCCACAACGCGACGGAAACUGCGAGGAAUAUCAAUGCAAUCUAUGGGGAUCGGACAUUGAGCGUGAGCCAGUGCCAACGGUGGUUCCAGAGAUUCCGGACCGGAAACUACAGCCUGGAAGACGAUAUUCGUCCUGGCAGGUCCGUAAAGCUCGACGACGAAGCCCUGCAAGCCCUGGUGGAAGAAAACCCUCACCUAUCUGUUCAGAAACUGGCAGAGAAGCUCGGAUUUGGUCAUUCAACCAUUCAUCGACACCUGCGUGCUAUCGGGAAAGUCAACAAAUUGGGUCAAUGGGUCUAAAAAGAAACCGCAUUAUUUAUGGGAUGACCCAAUACAAUAUAUUAUAUAUGGUUAUAUUUGAUUAUUGAAUACUAUAUUGUGCACACACACACACAUGCAUAUAUAUAUAUAUAUAUAUAUAUAUAUAUAUAUAUAUAUAUGUAUAUAUACACACACACAAUCUAUUGUAUGGCAGUGUUUCGGCAUUAGUUACAUGACGUCAGUGAUGAGUGUGUGUGAGUUUAUUCAGGUGAAAGACUGUCUUGGAAAUAUAAAGAAAAAGAACUUUGUUAUAAAUCAUUUAGACUUCAUAUUUAGUACCAUUUAAUGAGUCUGAAAUAAUAUUUUUACUAAAAAAAAUAUUAAAAAAUCUUGUAUUUACUGAAGCAGCUUUUGUUGCAAUUGAGAAAUAUUGUUUUAUGAAUUUCUCUCUCCAUAACAUUUAACUGAAAUCCGUUUAAAAAUCAUUCAGUUGCUGCCAGGACCUUUCCCAAUGUAAUAUCAUUCCUUUGUGACACUGAUAAUAAAAGACUUGAAAGAGAUUGCUUAUUCCGAUAGUUACUUUAUUACCAUUUACCAAUCCAACAUAUUAAAAAUCCUAACAAUUUCCACAACUGACAACAUUAAACAUGGCUGCCCUCAUGACGAUGAUGAUGAUGAUGAUGAUAUUUACGUUUUGUUUUUAAUUACAACUCACGAUUUUAGUCUUUAAUUAAUGUUGGAUAUCAACUCCCAGAGCCAACAAUUCCAUAACUUGGCCUUUUUUUUAUUUUAAAUUUGUCUCCAUUAAAACGUUUUUACUAGUUUGGUUGGAAAGCAUUUGUAAUUUGUGUGUCUGUGUGUGUGUUACGUUGACCGAAUUAUAUGAAAUGCUCCUGCUCUAAGGUGCUCGCUUUUAUUAUCAUUAAAAUAUUAUUAUUAUUAUUAUUAUUAUUAUUAUUAAAUUAUAAACCCCUCCCCGUGUUCUGCAACGUUUAUUGUAUUCUACAUACUUCUUCCUGCCCCUGUGGCUAAUAAAUAAAAUAUUAAAUUAAA
This 1535-nucleotide long non-coding RNA is filed under the name Octopus vulgaris (common octopus). Lineage: Eukaryota; Metazoa; Mollusca; Cephalopoda; Octopoda; Octopodidae. The record is from RNAcentral.